GUAGCUUGCUACCUGACCUAGCGGCGGACGGGUGAGUAAUGCUUAGGAAUCUGCCUAUUAGUGGGGGACAACAUUCCGAAAGGAAUGCUAAUACCGCAUACGCCCUACGGGGGAAAGCAGGGGAUCUUCGGACCUUGCGCUAAUAGAUGAGCCUAAGUCAGAUUAGCUAGUUGGUGGGGUAAAGGCCUACCAAGGCGACGAUCUGUAGCGGGUCUGAGAGGAUGAUCCGCCACACUGGGACUGAGACACGGCCCAGACUCCUACGGGAGGCAGCAGUGGGGAAUAUUGGACAAUGGGCGAAAGCCUGAUCCAGCCAUGCCGCGUGUGUGAAGAAGGCCUUUUGGUUGUAAAGCACUUUAAGCGAGGAGGAGGCUACUUAGAUUAAUACUCUAGGAUAGUGGACGUUACUCGCAGAAUAAGCACCGGCUAACUCUGUGCCAGCAGCCGCGGUAAUACAGAGGGUGCGAGCGUUAAUCGGAUUUACUGGGCGUAAAGCGUGCGUAGGCGGCUUCUUAAGUCGGAUGUGAAAUCCCUGAGCUUAACUUAGGAAUUGCAUUCGAUACUGGGAAGCUAGAGUAUGGGAGAGGAUGGUAGAAUUCCAGGUGUAGCGGUGAAAUGCGUAGAGAUCUGGAGGAAUACCGAUGGCGAAGGCAGCCAUCUGGCCUAAUACUGACGCUGAGGUACGAAAGCAUGGGGAGCAAACAGGAUUAGAUACCCUGGUAGUCCAUGCCGUAAACGAUGUCUACUAGCCGUUGGGGCCUUUGAGGCUUUAGUGGCGCAGCUAACGCGAUAAGUAGACCGCCUGGGGAGUACGGUCGCAAGACUAAAACUCAAAUGAAUUGACGGGGGCCCGCACAAGCGGUGGAGCAUGUGGUUUAAUUCGAUGCAACGCGAAGAACCUUACCUGGUCUUGACAUAGUAAGAACUUUCCAGAGAUGGAUUGGUGCCUUCGGGAACUUACAUACAGGUGCUGCAUGGCUGUCGUCAGCUCGUGUCGUGAGAUGUUGGGUUAAGUCCCGCAACGAGCGCAACCCUUUUCCUUAUUUGCCAGCGGGUUAAGCCGGGAACUUUAAGGAUACUGCCAGUGACAAACUGGAGGAAGGCGGGGACGACGUCAAGUCAUCAUGGCCCUUACGACCAGGGCUACACACGUGCUACAAUGGUCGGUACAAAGGGUUGCUACCUAGCGAUAGGAUGCUAAUCUCAAAAAGCCGAUCGUAGUCCGGAUUGGAGUCUGCAACUCG
Molecule: ribosomal RNA, 1244 nt
Filed under: uncultured Acinetobacter sp.
Lineage: Bacteria; Pseudomonadati; Pseudomonadota; Gammaproteobacteria; Moraxellales; Moraxellaceae
Description: bacterial SSU rRNA
Rfam family: Bacterial small subunit ribosomal RNA
Source: RNAcentral